CGAAGGGUGCAAGCGUUACUCGGAAUUACUGGGCGUAAAGCGUGCGUAGGUGGUGAGUUAAGUCUGUCGUGAAAGCCCCGGGCUCAACCUGGGAAUGGCGAUGGAUACUGGCUCGCUAGAGUGCGGUAGAGGAGAGUGGGAAUUCCCGGUGUAGCAGUGAAAUGCGUAGAGAUCGGGAGGAACAUCAGUUGCGAAGGCGGCUCUCUGGACCAGCACUGACACUGAGGCACGAAAGCGUGGGGAGCAAACAGGAUUAGAUACCCUGGUAGUCCACGCCCUAAACGAUUUGCGAACUGGACGUUGGGAGCAAUCAGGCUCUCAGUGUCGAAGCUAACGCGUUAAGUUCGCCGCCUGGGGAGUACGGUCGCAAGACUG
This 375-nucleotide ribosomal RNA is filed under the name uncultured organism. Its description in RNAcentral is "bacterial SSU rRNA". It matches the Rfam family "Bacterial small subunit ribosomal RNA", at positions 526 to 896 of the family's 1533-position model. The record is from RNAcentral.